This 758-nucleotide ribosomal RNA is filed under the name uncultured Tomentella. RNAcentral describes it as "partial 28S ribosomal RNA". It matches the Rfam family "Eukaryotic large subunit ribosomal RNA", at positions 216 to 962 of the family's 3401-position model. Lineage: Eukaryota; Fungi; Basidiomycota; Agaricomycetes; Thelephorales; Thelephoraceae. The record is from RNAcentral.
GAAUCCCGUCUUUGACACGGACUACCAAUGCUUUGUGAUGCGCUCUCAAAGAGUCGAGUUGUUUGGGAAUGCAGCUCAAAAUGGGUGGUAAAUUCCAUCUAAAGCUAAAUAUAGGCGAGAGACCGAUAGCGAACAAGUACCGUGAGGGAAAGAUGAAAAGCACUUUGGAAAGAGAGUUAAACAGUACGUGAAAUUGCUGAAAGGGAAACGCUUGAAGUCAGUCACGUCUGCCAGGACUCAGCCUUGCUUUUGCUUGGUGCACUUUCUGGUUUGAUGGGCCAACAUCAAUUUUGACCGUUGGAGAAAGGCUUUGGGAACGUGGCACCUUCGGGUGUGUUAUAGCCCUUUGUUGUAUACAACGGUUGGGAUUGAGGACUGCAGCAUGCCUUCAUGGCCGGGGUUCGCCCACGUACGUGCUUAGGAUGUUGGCAUAAUGGCUUUAAGCGACCCGUCUUGAAACACGGACCAAGGAGUCUAACAUGCCUGCGAGUGUUUGGGUGGAAAACCCAUGCGCGUAAUGAAAGUGACAGCUGAGAUCCUCUCAUCAGGAGCAUCAGCGCCUGGACUUGAUCUACGGAGACGGUUCUACGGUAGAGCAUGUAUGUUGGGACCCGAAAGAUGGUGAACUAUGCCUGAAUAGGGUGAAGCCAGAGGAAACUCUGGUGGAGGCUCGUAGCGAUUCUGACGUGCAAAUCGAUCGUCAAAUUUGGGUAUAGGGGCGAAAGACUAAUCGAACCAUCUAGUAGCUGGUUCCUGCC